Molecule: long non-coding RNA, 3068 nt
Organism: Mus musculus (house mouse)
Lineage: Eukaryota; Metazoa; Chordata; Mammalia; Rodentia; Muridae
Product: predicted gene, 39966
Exons: 2
Source: RefSeq, a predicted model, not a curated record
AGGGUUCAGUCCUCCGUGGCGACUCGGCUCCCGUCCUGGGUUUGUUGUCAGUACCGACCUGCGUCUUGUUUAGGUGGCGGCUUCGGGGCGCCCCGGGACCCCUAGAAUCGCUGGCCUGGCCGCGCAGGUGCCCGGGGAUUGGAGUCCACACGCCGCCGAGAGCCAGGAGUGGGAAACGGCCGCGGACUACAAGUCCCGGCGUGCCCCGCGGUAGGCGCCCAGAGCGGCAGCGCGGGCUGUGAUCUUUGGUCGGGCAGCGUGCUCCUGUCGGAGAGACUGGCCAUUGGGAAGCGGCCCUAGAGGCCCAGACCCUGGCCCUGGCGUUUGGCGGCUUGGGUGGCCCCUAGCAAGGGCCCACCGUCUUCUGGGCCUUGAGCAGGGCCGGAGAGAGCAUCAGUGUUCUAGCUCUCCAUGGAAGGAACGGUUUUAUGUUUACAAUGAAUAUCCAGAGGUAUAAAGGGCAUUUUCCCAGAAUCUUGUAACUGGAAAGCAGCUGGUUAGAAUUUGGACUCAGGACAUCAUGACCUCUAAGCUCAUCUCUUCCACUGCUGUCUGUAUACAAGGCAAUACACUUGAAACAACCCUAAUGGAAUUUCAACACAAUCCAAUUCAAACUGUGCCUAGUGACACAAGCUUGUAAUCCCAGCCCUGCUAUCACUACUGAGGCCAAGGAAUCGAUCAGCUCAUUUCAGAGGUCAGCCUGGGCAUACAGUGAAUUCCAGACCAACCUGGACAAGAUGGGGAGACCCUAUCAAAACAAAACUACAAACCAAACAAACAGAAAAACAAAGCAAUUCAGGCUGGUUAGCUUUUAAAAUAAUUUCAAUACUCUAUUAAAUUGGAAAGGGUCCUCAAAGGGAGAUGAAUGCUAUCCCAUUACACAGGAACCUAGGGAAGUGGCUUUGCAAAUUCUUAUUAAGAUAGUUAAUCAGCCAGCAGGGCAGUUUAUUGUCUCCACUGGGUAGAUGCUAAGACUGAAGCCCAGAGAGGUUUAAGUCAGUGUUGUCUUGGCGGAAGAGCUAGAAUGGAGGCUCGACAUACUGUGUAGGGAGGGAUUGGGAGGGGGGGGGACCACAGAUUGUAUGGAUGAAGAUUGGGAGGGGGGGACCACAGAUUGUAUGGAUGAAGAUAAGGCUGGGUUCUUGCCUGUGUAAGGGUGGAGGCAUGAUUUGCCCAUCAAGUAGGGUAUGCUGUAUGCUAGACCUUACUCGUUUGGCAUUUCCUAUGAUCCUUGGGCUCAGGUUCAAGUUGAUUCUCCUUAUUUUGAAGAAGUGGGUUUAGAAAGGGUUCCACAGUUCCGUCUGGCGUUAUGGGCAGUAGUCAGUUACCAUGUGGGUGCAGGGGCUUGAACUCAGGCCCUCUAGAAGAGCAGCCAGAGAGCUCUUAACCACCAAGCCAUCUUUCCAGCCCCCUCCUUCCUUUUUCCCCUCUAUUUCAUUCAUUAUUUCUUUUUCUUUUUCCUUGUCCUGUACCAUCUCUUCAUGAAUUUUUGCUUAUUUAUUUUUUUUGCAGCUGGUAUGGCCGGUAGACAUUUUCUGACUCCUCUGUGCCAGGGCCUGCUGGUCACUGGAGGUAUUGAGACCCAGGCACACGGCUGAGACAGAUAGGCCCGUAUGGUAUAGUGUUAGUUUUAUGUGAGGAGAUCUGCCACUUUUCUCUCCAUGGCUACCAGUCCCCAGUCUCAUCUCUCCUCACAGGUCUGUGAUCUCCUUGCUCCCAUUUUGUUUUCCUGCUUUUUGAGCCUCAGCUGGUCUUGAAUUCCAUCUUCCUUUAGCCUCCACAGCACUGUUUAUAGGCACAUGUUGCUACAGUUGGCCAGUAGAAUCUUUUCUAAAGAGAAAUCUGGUCAUCAAAUAACACCACCUUUGAACCUCUGUAGGUGACCUACCUCACUGACAGUAAAGUCCUGAUUUAUUUUAAAACCCCUGUUUGAGUCAGUCCACCGAUUUUUAGGUUUUUUUUUUUUCCUUCUCAUUUUGUUAUAUGUGUCUGGGUGUUUUGCCUGCGUGUAGGUCUAUGCACCACGUGCAUGUGAUGUGGACAGGGGCCAGAAGAAAGUGUUGGGUCUCUGGAACUGGAGUUGUAGACGGUCGUGAGUCUCCAUGAGCUGCUAGGAAUUAAACCCUGGAACAGCCAGUCCUCUUCACCAUUAAGCCAUCUGUUAAGCCCCUCAAUUUUCAGAUGUGUUGGAGCAUAUACUGGACCUGGUACUUGGCAUGAACCUUCCAGGUUAACUGGCUGUGUUAAAUUCCUGCGAUGGGGGAGAGAUCCGUGUGUCUGAGCAGAUAGUGAGGAGAAUAAAGUGGAGAUAGAAACAGUUGGUAGACAGGAGUGGGGCCUGAAGCCCAGGUAAGGGUUAGGAUUUUAAACUUUUAAAAAGUUUCCCACUGGACUAUAACCAAGAACUUGCUAUGUGAGAACAAAGGGGACCAUGAAGCUGCUUUGUUGGCCCAGUUGAGAACUAGUGCUUUAGACGAGCGUGAGAUGCUCAGUCAAAACCUUGCUGAUGGAGGUGGGGGUAUGAUGACCCACAACUUUAACCUCAGUCCUCAGGAGGCAGUGGGAGGCAGUUAUCUUUUGAGUUUGCAGCUAGCUUGGUCUACAUAGUGAGUUUCAGGACAACCGAAGCUAUAUGAUAGGCCCUGUCUCAAAAAUAAAAGAACCCAGCAAAAAGAAAAAUGGGACAGAGGCAAAAAAUGGGAACGAGAAAUUUUACAAGGUUUUGGUCGGAGUGGUUGGUUGAAUGGUGGUUUCAUUUCCUAAAAUGGGAAGAUUGAGGGUGUUAGGCCAAGGAGUCUGGAGGGCUCGUACUUGAUGGUAAUAAUUGGACAUAAGUCUAGAGGUGCUGAGUCAGCCGUUGGAUUGUGAGUCUCAAAUUCCUGGGAGAAGUUUGCACUGGCGGUAAAUACGUGGGCGUCAUCUGCACAGGGAAGGUAUUCACAGCCAUUUGGCUAAAUGCCGAGCAUUGGAUAAGAGCUACUAUGGAUCCCUGAGGGUUCCUAGAGUUUGCCAGAUGAGGAGCAGCCAGGAAGGUAGGAGGGAAAGCACAAGAGAGAAUCGGAUGCCAA